Pelobates cultripes (western spadefoot toad) is the source of this 982-nucleotide non-coding RNA. The record is from the annotation of a GenBank genome assembly. Lineage: Eukaryota; Metazoa; Chordata; Amphibia; Anura; Pelobatidae.
GAGUGCCAGCUGACCGCUCUAGCCAAUCAGCAACACCCCUACCCAACGGCACUCUGUGCUUCCUGACACUCAGUAAAUAAACACAUUAAUACUGAUAUUUUUUUACCUUUGGAGAUGAGAAGGUCCAGCAUUUUCCUGCCUGGCCCAGGUACCAAAGCCUUAUGAUAUGGUGUCCAGAAUAAAGUGGAGGGUUCACUUCAUUUGUCCUUCCUGCUCCAAUCUCCUUUUCCUCCCCUUCAUUUGACAGUCUUUUUUUUCUUCUGACACUGUUUUCUAUCCUUGGCCCCUUCUGCUCUUUUACCUUUCUGCUACUUUCUGCUUAUUUAGCGCCCUUCUGCUCCUUUCUCAUUCUGAUCCCUUUCUCCUCCUUGCAGACCCUUUCUGCUCCCUUUUCUACUUUACCUUUGUGCUCCUUCUGAUUCUUUCAGCUCCUUUACCUUUGUGCUCCUUCCUGUUCCUUGCAGGCCCUUCCUGCUCAUUCUCCUAUUUUACCUUUGUGCUCCUUCUGCCCCUUCCAGCUCAUUUCUGACCCUUUCUGCUCCUUCUACUUUACCUUUGUGCUGCUUUACCUUCCAGCUCCUUGCUGACCCUUCCUGUUCAUUUCUGUUCCUUUGUGCUCCUUCUCCUACUUUACCUUUUGUGCUCCUUGCUGUCCCUUCCAGCUCCUUGCUGCCCCUUUCUGCUCCUUGAUGUCCCUUCCUGCUCAUUUCUGUUCCUUCUCCUUUUCUUACUUUACCUUCUUGCUCCUUGCUGACUCUUCAUGUAGGCUGUCUCCCCCAUCCCUCACUUCCAUAGGCGUGCGCACGGGGUGUGUCGGGUGUGCCUGGGCACACCCUAAUCCCCGCGGCACGCCAAUGGAUAGAGACCGGCAGGGGAGAUCUCUGGUCUAAGCCUCCAUGGGCCGGUGGGGAGAUCAAAGUUCUACCUCACCGGUCCACAGCAGCAUGGAGGGAGGCAGCAGAGAACCCGGGCUAGAGUUCAC